This 478-nucleotide ribosomal RNA is filed under the name uncultured bacterium. RNAcentral's name for it is "partial 16S ribosomal RNA". It matches the Rfam family "Bacterial small subunit ribosomal RNA", at positions 28 to 507 of the family's 1533-position model. The record is from RNAcentral.
GAUGAACGCUGGCGGCGUGCUUAACACAUGCAAGUCGAACGAGAAAUGUAGACGGAAACCUUCGGGCGGAAGCCUUCAUUUCGAGUGGCGGACGGGUGAGUAACGCGUGGGUAACCUGCCUCAUACAGGGGGAUAACAGUUGGAAACGACUGUUAAUACCGCAUAAGACCACAGCAUCGCAUGAUGCGGGGGUAAAAACUCCGGUGGUAUGAGAUGGACCCGCGUUCGAUUAGCCAGUUGGCGGGGUAACGGCCCACCAAAGCGACGAUCGAUAGCCGAUCUGAGAGGAGGACCGGCCACAUUGGGACUGAGACACGGCCCAAACUCCUACGGGAGGCAGCAGUGGGGAAUAUUGCACAAGGGGGGAAACCCUGAUGCAGCGACGCCGCGUGAGUGAAGAAGUACUUCGGUAUGUAAAGCUCUAUAAGCAGGGAAGAAAAUGACGGUACCUGAGUAAGAAGCCCCGGCUAACUACGUG